Molecule: non-coding RNA, 143 nt
Organism: Meleagris gallopavo (turkey)
Lineage: Eukaryota; Metazoa; Chordata; Aves; Galliformes; Phasianidae
Source: RefSeq, a predicted model, not a curated record
GGAUGCAGUGGGGACAGAGCGUCCUUCCUGCCACGCAGAAGGACGGAGCCUGCGCAUCCGUGAAAUGGUGCUGGGCAAGGGGGGAAGCAGAAAGCCUGCACUGAAGCUGAUGCCAGUGGCCUUCCUCUGAGGCGCAGCCUUGC